GUACUUGCUUCGGCAACACACGUACUAAAAUUGGAAUGAUACAGAGAAGAUUAGCAUGGCCCCUGCGCAAGAAUGACAAGAUUAAUUCAAAUUUGGGAAUAGAUCCCU
Small nuclear RNA from Suncus etruscus (white-toothed pygmy shrew), 108 nucleotides. NCBI's taxonomy places the organism in Eukaryota, Metazoa, Chordata, Mammalia, Eulipotyphla, Soricidae. The record is from RefSeq and is a predicted model, not a curated record.